This 232-nucleotide ribosomal RNA is filed under the name uncultured bacterium. RNAcentral describes it as "partial 16S ribosomal RNA". It matches the Rfam family "Bacterial small subunit ribosomal RNA", at positions 99 to 334 of the family's 1533-position model. The record is from RNAcentral.
CGGACGGGUGAGUAAUGUCUGGGAAACUGCCCGAUGGGGGGGGAUAACUACUGGAAACGGUAGCUAAUACCGCAUAACGUCGCAAGACCAAAGAGGGGGACCUUAGGGCCUCUUGCCAUCGGAUGUGCCCAGAUGGGAUUAGCUAGUAGGUGGGGUAAUGGCUCACCUAGGCGACGAUCCCUAGCUGGUCUGAGAGGAUGACCAGCCACACUGGAACUGAGACACGGUCCAG